CCUCCCCGAGUCCCCGCCUGUCCGUUACUCCACAGCCCCAGGGGACGGGCUCAUGGGGACAUCCGUGCCCCGGCAGGAGCCUGGCCCCCAAGCCCUAUCUCCCCUCCCCCCACCCCGACUGCUUCCAAGGCGAGAGCUUGGGGAAGGUGGUUAGGGGAGUGUUGAUGGGCCGGGGUUCCUAGUGCCCAGUCCAGGGGCUGAGGACAAGGACCCAAAUCAGACCGACACACUGACCCGCCCGCCGGCCCUAAGGACGGACUGCAGCUCGACCGAGCCUCCCCUGCCCGGGCGUCCGUCGGGUCCUAGCGCCCCUGCCGCCACAGCGCUUUGUGUAACAGACCCAGACAGAGUUGCAUCAGGACCCAGGACUGAGAUCUCCAGAAAGGCCCCCGGAGUGCAAUUGAGAGCCCGUGUUUCGUCAUUCAGGCGGGGUCACAGGAAAUCUGGCCUGGCUGCAGUGCUCUGAGGCUGAUAUGAUUGCUCGGGGUGGGAGGAGGCUCGGCUGGAUUCAGCCUUCCUUUCUUUAAAGGUUUAUCAAUCUGGGACACAGGGAUCCUGAUGGAAGAGGGAAUCGAACUUACAUCAGACAGUUGGCCUGGGGUGGUCACAAACCUCACCAGAUUAGACUAGCCGGCCUUGCCUCAGGGCAGGCUUGCACGUGACAAAUGACACUUGCAGAAGUCUUUUCUUCUAGACAGCUGCUUGACUGUGGUGUUCAAUUCAUCUUGACUUCCAGCAGCCAGCACUGUGCCAGGUGUACAGCAGAGGCUCAGUGAAUGUUCUUUGGAUGAACAAAUGAAUGCGUGGUUAAAUGGAUAGCUCCGUGAGGCAAGAACAUGGCUUUUCCCAGAAUGGCACAGACCUACAUCUGGACUCUCAGGGUCUGGCUCCGCCUAUGGGUUGGCCCUUCAGAGGACCUUGGCACAGUCUUUCUGUCCUCUUUCUGACAAGUGCUGCCAAGAACCUUGGACAGAUUUGACCAUUUCUUCUCCUCUUCCUCAGCUGAGGUGUGGGAGCAGGGCUUUUGAGACAACUCAGUUCUUCUGGCUGGAAUAUGUAGUCCGUGAUCCUAGGAAGCUGGGGAGAAAGGUGACCCAAUGCAGAGGGCUGAUUUGUUAUAGGGAAGCUUUUUAAAUAGUCAGUACUUUCCCUUCAAAACUUAAACAUGUUUUUUAAUUGAGAUGAAAUUCAUAUAUAAAAUUAACCAUGUCAAAGUGAA
Molecule: non-coding RNA, 1219 nt
Organism: Microcebus murinus (gray mouse lemur)
Lineage: Eukaryota; Metazoa; Chordata; Mammalia; Primates; Cheirogaleidae
Source: RefSeq, a predicted model, not a curated record